GACGAACGCUGGCGGCGUGCCUAAUACAUGCAAGUAGAACGCUGAAGAGAGGAGCUUGCUCUUCUUGGAUGAGUUGCGAACGGGUGAGUAACGCGUAGGUAACCUGCCUUGUAGCGGGGGAUAACUAUUGGAAACGAUAGCUAAUACCGCAUAACAAUGGAUGACACAUGUCAUUUAUUUGAAAGGGGCAAUUGCUCCACUACAAGAUGGACCUGCGUUGUAUUAGCUAGUAGGUGAGGUAAUGGCUCACCUAGGCGACGAUACAUAGCCGACCUGAGAGGGUGAUCGGCCACACUGGGACGGAGACACGGCCCAGACUCCUACGGGAGGCAGCAGUAGGGAAUCUUCGGCAAUGGGGGCAACCCUGACCGAGCAACGCCGCGUGAGUGAAGAAGGUUUUCGGAUCGUAAAGCUCGGUUGUAAGUCAAGAACGGGUGUGAGAGUGGAAAGUUCACACUGUGACGGUAGCUUACCAGAAAGGGACGGCUAACUACGUG
RNAcentral lists this ribosomal RNA (497 nucleotides) under uncultured bacterium. RNAcentral describes it as "partial 16S ribosomal RNA". It matches the Rfam family "Bacterial small subunit ribosomal RNA", at positions 28 to 507 of the family's 1533-position model. The record is from RNAcentral.